This 390-nucleotide ribosomal RNA is filed under the name uncultured bacterium. RNAcentral describes it as "bacterial SSU rRNA". It matches the Rfam family "Bacterial small subunit ribosomal RNA", at positions 30 to 422 of the family's 1533-position model. The record is from RNAcentral.
AUUGAACGCUGGCGGCAUGCCUUACACAUGCAAGUCGAACGGCAGCGGACCUUCGGGUGCCGGCGAGUGGCGAACGGGUGAGUAAUAUAUCGGAACGUACCUUUCAGUGGGGGAUAACGUAGCGAAAGUUACGCUAAUACCGCAUAUUCUGUGAGCAGGAAAGCAGGGGAUCGCAAGACCUUGCGCUGAUUGAGCGGCCGAUAUCAGAUUAGCUAGUUGGUGAGGUAAAGGCUCACCAAGGCGACGAUCUGUAGCGGGUCUGAGAGGAUGAUCCGCCACACUGGAACUGAGACACGGUCCAGACUCCUACGGGAGGCAGCAGUGGGGAAUUUUGGACAAUGGGCGCAAGCCUGAUCCAGCCAUGCCGCGUGAGUGAAGAAGGCCUCGGUG